GCUCGGGUGGUGGAACUGGUAGACACGCAGGACUUAAAAUCCUGUGCACCUAAAAUGCGUGCGGGUUCGAUUCCCGCCCCGAGUA
RNAcentral lists this transfer RNA (85 nucleotides) under Pedobacter punctiformis. Its description in RNAcentral is "tRNA-Leu". It matches the Rfam family "tRNA". Rfam says of the family: Transfer RNA (tRNA) molecules are approximately 80 nucleotides in length. RNAcentral also lists the same sequence under 1 other name. The record is from RNAcentral. Lineage: Bacteria; Pseudomonadati; Bacteroidota; Sphingobacteriia; Sphingobacteriales; Sphingobacteriaceae.